AUGGCUGCGUUUCUGGUGCAUGUGCAUUUGAAGAUCUCAUGACUAGAUCCACACUCAUCC
RNAcentral lists this non-coding RNA (60 nucleotides) under Blattella germanica (German cockroach). Lineage: Eukaryota; Metazoa; Arthropoda; Insecta; Blattodea; Blattellidae. The record is from RNAcentral.